RNAcentral lists this ribosomal RNA (1690 nucleotides) under Teratosphaeria sp. CPC 12200. Its description in RNAcentral is "eukaryotic LSU rRNA". It matches the Rfam family "Eukaryotic large subunit ribosomal RNA", at positions 1 to 1390 of the family's 3401-position model. The record is from RNAcentral. Lineage: Eukaryota; Fungi; Ascomycota; Dothideomycetes; Mycosphaerellales; Teratosphaeriaceae.
UUGACCUCGGAUCAGGUAGGGAUACCCGCUGAACUUAAGCAUAUCAAUAAGCGGAGGAAAAGAAACCAACAGGGAUUGCCCUAGUAACGGCGAGUGAAGCGGCAACAGCUCAAAUUUGAAAUCUGGGGCAAGCCCGAGUUGUAAUUUGCAGAGGAUGCUUCUAGGCAGCGGCCGGUCUAAGUUCCUUGGAACAGGACGUCAUAGAGGGUGAGAAUCCCGUAUGUGACCGGCUGGCACCUUACACGUAGCUCCUUCGACGAGUCGAGUUGUUUGGGAAUGCAGCUCUAAAUGGGAGGUAAAUUUCUUCUAAAGCUAAAUACCGGCCAGAGACCGAUAGCGCACAAGUAGAGUGAUCGAAAGAUGAAAAGCACUUUGGAAAGAGAGUUAAAAAGCACGUGAAAUUGUUAAAAGGGAAGCGCUUGCAACCAGACUUGUCGGCGGUGUUCCGCCGGUCUUCUGACCGGUUCACUCGUCGUCGACAGGCCAACAUCAUCUGGGGCCGCCGGAUAAAGGCGGGAGGAAUGUAGGUUCCCUCGGGAACCAUUAUAGCCUCCCGCACAAUACGGCGAGCCUCGGGUGAGGUCCGCGCUUCGGCAAGGAUGUUGGCGUAAUGGUCGUAAGCGGCCCGUCUUGAAACACGGACCAAGGAGUCGAUUAUCUAUGCGAGUGUUCGGGCGUCAAACCCCUACGCGUAAUGAAAGUGAACGGAGGUGGGAACCCUUUACGGGGUGCACCAUCGACCGAUCCGGAUGUCUUCGGAUGGAUUUGAGUAAGAGCAUAGCUAAUCGGACCCGAAAGAUGGUGAACUAUGCCUGAAUAGGGUGAAGCCAGAGGAAACUCUGGUGGAGGCUCGCAGCGGUUCUGACGUGCAAAUCGAUCGUCAAAUUUGGGUAUAGGGGCGAAAGACUAAUCGAACCAUUAACUACUAGGUGGUUAAGAGGCUAUUCAAAAUAGCACUAGUUCUGCUGUCAAAGCAGAGCUACAUUGCCAAAUUGCGGGGACCCCCAGAUCUACCGGUUCUACCGUUGGUCGCGGCCGAAAGGCCGGUCCAACACCUAGCUCGCGACGGCUAGGGUAAGGUCAUAACGACCCGGUAGUGGGCUACCACGCAGCCAACUCCUACGCCAGACUUCGCGGUCUAGCAGGGACGCAGUUCACUGACUAUACGGCGAUGGGCGCCUCUCCGCGAGGUCGUUUAAGAUAUAGUCGACAGCUCGGUAAUGCGAGCGAAUGGAAUCCAGUUAGCUAGUAGCUGGUUCCUGCCGAAGUUUCCCUCAGGAUAGCAGUAACGUUUUCAGUUUUAUGAGGUAAAGCGAAUGAUUAGAGGCCUUGGGGUUGAAACAACCUUAACCUAUUCUCAAACUUUAAAUAUGUAAGAAGUCCUUGUUACUUAGUUGAACGUGGACAUUCGAAUGUACCGUUACUAGUGGGCCAUUUUUGGUAAGCAGAACUGGCGAUGCGGGAUGAACCGAACGCGGAGUUAAGGUGCCGGAAUGCACGCUCAUCAGACACCACAAAAGGUGUUAGUUCAUCUAGACAGCAGGACGGUGGCCAUGGAAGUCGGAACCCGCUAAGGAGUGUGUAACAACUCACCUGCCGAAUGAACUAGCCCUGAAAAUGGAUGGCGCUUAAGCGUGCUACCCAUACUCCGCCGCCAGCGUAGAAUCGACGCGCUGGCGAGUAGGCAGGC